Molecule: ribosomal RNA, 253 nt
Filed under: uncultured bacterium
Lineage: Bacteria
Description: partial 16S ribosomal RNA
Rfam family: Bacterial small subunit ribosomal RNA
Source: RNAcentral
UACGGGGGGGGCAAGCGUUGUUCGGAAUUACUGGGCGUAAAGGGCGCGUAGGCGGUUGGAUAAGUCAGCUGUGAAAGCCACGGGCUUAACUCGUGGCCUGCAGUUGAGACUGUCUGGCUUGAGUGUGGGAGAGGAGAGUGGAAUUCCUGGUGUAGCGGUGAAAUGCGUAGAUAUCAGGAGGAACACCGGUGGCGAAGGCGGCUCUCUGGACCACAACUGACGCUGAGGCGCGAAAGCUAGGGGAGCAAACAGG